CAGGAGUUGUGCGGGGCUAUCCGUGCGUCCUGGGAUGAGAAACACCCAGUUGCCAGAGGCCACUUCCUCUAGAUGAAUUGACGUGGGUUGUGGUUCAUGCCACUUUUCAGGUCCAAGGACCAGUCAAGCGUCCAGAAGUCCUCCUGCCUCCCACCACUCAAGCUUCCUCUUGCCCAGCCACCAGUAGACCCAGGAAGCCCAGGAAAAUCCUCACAGUGUGAAAACCUAGUGACAAAUUCAGUAGAUCUCCAGGAAAGCAGUUCCCAAAUGAUUCUGACAUUCAACCUGGGCUGAGAACCACUGUUCUACUACAACCACUCAUCUUUUAGAAGAGGCUGCACUUCAAAAGGUAAAGGAUUCAGAAUAUAACUUGAUUGUCAAUGGCAAUGUUUAGAUAUAUUUUAAAAGAAUCAUGAAAAAGAAAUAACCAGCUUUUAAUGUCAACCCUAGUCAAUUCCUGAAAUGAAUAGGUCUGAAUUUCUCAAAAUAUUACCAGGACCAACUAAUUUUAUAGAUAGCAAAGGAUGUUUAUUCUAGCCCCAGUACUCUGCCUUGAAAUCCCUGGGGAGCCAUUGAAAAGUUUUGCAAAAAUAUCAUGAUGAGAAGGUAGUUUCCAGAGAUGGACCAGGCUAUGGUGGAAGGAAAGUUUGAAGGAACAAGUAUAAACACAGGGAGGUCACACAAUGGCUAUUAUCCCGGAAUGAGCCCUCAAAUCAUCUAAUGUAAGACAGAGACGGUGAAUAUGAGCAGUAUCAUGUAAAGCUAUUCACAGAGUAUGGGACUGUUGGCCUAGGAAAAUCAACGGUGAGCCAGUACCCAAAGCAACUACCAGUUCCAGCUAUUUACUUAGUCCAGCUUUGCAUUCUAAAUAACUGCCUGGCCUGGAGCUUCCAGAAGCCCCUCUAAGGAAGGGGAAGGAAGGGUAUAAUGGAAGAGAAUGUAAAUCACUGGGGGCAAGGGGCAAGUCUGAUCAUUUUGUCUACCUAGGGUACUUAACAGACUGCUGUGUUUUGUGACUAGAACCAAGAAAGACAACGGUUAUGGUUAUCUCAGGAGAAGCCACUUCCUGGUCACUUGGGUGACCUCCAAAGUCCUCCAGGAAACUGGGGCCAUCAGAGAGAGGGGUAGAGGAGUGACACCUUCUACUUGGUGGACACAGAGCUGUCUCAUCACCAUGUUUUAAAAAUUAAGUGUGCUAGAAGAAUAAAUCUAUCCACUUCAAACAAGCCCACCCCCAAAAAUAUUUGACAAACCAUCACCUAACCAGUGAAAAUUU
Molecule: long non-coding RNA, 1276 nt
Organism: Felis catus (domestic cat)
Lineage: Eukaryota; Metazoa; Chordata; Mammalia; Carnivora; Felidae
Exons: 3
Source: RefSeq, a predicted model, not a curated record